This 471-nucleotide ribosomal RNA is filed under the name uncultured Roseobacter sp. Its description in RNAcentral is "bacterial SSU rRNA". It matches the Rfam family "Bacterial small subunit ribosomal RNA", at positions 8 to 525 of the family's 1533-position model. Lineage: Bacteria; Pseudomonadati; Pseudomonadota; Alphaproteobacteria; Rhodobacterales; Roseobacteraceae. The record is from RNAcentral.
AGAGUUUGAUCCUGGCUCAGAACGAACGGUGGUGGCAGGCAUAACACAUGCAAGUCGAGCGCUACCUUCGGGUGGAGCGGCGGACGGGUUAGUAACGCGUGGGAAUAUGCCCUUCUUUACGGAAUAGCCUCGGGAAACUGAGAGUAAUACCGUAUACGCCCUUCGGGGGAAAGAUUUAUCGGAGAAGGAUUAGCCCGGGUAAGAUUAGAUAGCCGGUGGGGUAAUGGCCUACCAAGUAUACGAUCCUUAGCCGGUUUUAGAGUGUGAUCAGCAACACUGGGACUGAGACACGGCCCUGACUCGUACGGGAAGCAGCAGUGGGGAAUUUUAGACAAUGGGCGAAAGCAUGAUAAAGCCAUGCCGCGUGAGUGAUGAAGGCCUUAGGGUCGUAAAGCUUUUUCGCCAGGGAUGAUAAUGACAGUACCUGGUAAAGAAGCCCCGGCUAACUCUGUGCCAGCAGCCGCGGUUAUA